Molecule: non-coding RNA, 4068 nt
Organism: Meleagris gallopavo (turkey)
Lineage: Eukaryota; Metazoa; Chordata; Aves; Galliformes; Phasianidae
Source: RefSeq, a predicted model, not a curated record
AUCCACGAGCUCCCGUCUGCGGCUCCGGGGCGGCCCCGCCGGACCCGGCUGCACAGAAAGCGGCGACCCCGAAGUUUGCUCCGAGCGCCGCGGCGCGGGGAGGAAAGGCUGAGAGGGAGAGCGUGGGGUUCUGCCUCUGCCCUUCGCGUAGUCACAAUCCCGCUCCGAGCGGAGCAGGCUGCGGCUGCUGUACGGUACAGGAGGUACAUCUCUGGAAUGGGUGAGGGAUAAAGACUGGUAUGGAAGGCCCUCUACUCCGUUUCCUAUGCUUGUUAUUGUAACAGCUGCAGGAACCCACGCCUCCUCCUUUUCCCCUCCAACUUUCCCAAAAGCAAAAGACCCCACUUGACUUCUGCCCCCGCUGCUUCAGGAACGCGUAUCCUCCUUCAGUUCUGAACGACGUGUGUGACUGCUCCUGCUGACCCGCCCUUGCUGCGAUGUUUUGUCCCCUCCAGGUCUCUGAGCGCACAGCUGUGCCCCCACACAGCGCUGCGGGCAGAGAGAGCUGUACACACAGCUCUUCGUAUUGGAGAGAAGCCCACAGUUCAUCAAAAGGCAAGGGAGAAGGGAAGCUUUUUAUUUUUAAAACCUACAGCAGAGGGAACGCUUAAAGCCACACUUUGCACAGACGAAGCAUGUCUGGUUGGCAAAAUAAAUUGCAAGCUUACACCUGAUGAGCUUAUAACGAGUUACCUGCAGCCACUGACAGUACGUAAUGCAGCAGAGUGUACUGACAUAGGCUGCACUUGGAAACUUGCAGUUAUUUUAUUCUUUAGACACAGACUUUGAGUUCUCUGAAUGCAAGAAAGGCCUCUGCUUGUAAACCUUCUAUGAGGUUAAGGAUCUCCUGCUCCCGUGAUUGUAAUCCCUGGUGAAGGUGAGGCAGCCUCCAACUCCUGAAGCAAAAUCAUUCAUUUUUAGCUCUGGAAUGCACUAAUCCUAACAUUAGAAGCUGUAACAGGAUGUCUGCUGUCUGUGCCUCGAGUGCUGUCCUUCCAUUCCUGCUCAGGAAACCCUGGCUCCAUGCAGCUCUGUAAGCCAACCCACGUGCUGCAGAAUGGAGCUGUAUUUUUUUGGAAUGUAUUUAUUCUGUGCAGGUGGACUCAAGCAGCCAGGUUUGGUGCAGCUGCAGCCUUCAGCCCUCUUGGAGCAAGUUUCAGACCUGGUCACCAAGUUAUCACUAUUCACCCUGCAAAGUCCCCUCAUCCUUCAGCUAUAAAUAAGUCAGCUGCACUUAUCUCACACUGCAGUGAGCUGGGUAACUAUCUCUGAGCACUGCCCACCGAUGUGCUGGGAUGGGGUUGACCAAGCACCGUGCUGCAGCGCCUGGCUCUGGGUGUGACUUCUGAUGCUUCGGGACCUUGCCGUGUUCAGAGGGUGAGGUGGAGGAGAUGCCUUCCUAAGGUGAAGUUUCAGCAAGACGUGAUCUGUUAAAGCUGGUUAAUUUGGGAUGAAAAACGGAGGCUUGUGCUGUCAUACAUCUAGAAUCUAAGUCCUGGGUAUUAAUUUAAAACUCCCAUAUCUAACCCAAUCUAUUUGAGAGGAACAUUAAUGCCAAAUUCCUCAAAUGCUGCUCCAAAGUGAGGUUCUUGAAACCAAAGUGAAUGAUACAGAUUGCCAACUGUGAACAAAAGCUGGGUAAAAACAGAGAGGCUACCCAAACUGGAAGAUCUACCAAUUUGUUUAAGACUAUUUUCGCAUCGCCAGAUGGGUGAGAAAAGACUGCCCAGCAGCCUUUAAAGCUACAGAUGUUCAUAUUUUGCACCCUCCCUUACAGCACCGUGCUCAGCUUCCUACAGCCCGUGCCAUCCCACGCAGCAGCGCUUGCCCUGCAGAAUGCACCCAUUUCCAACAGUGCUUCAACAACCAUCCCAUUAACUGAUGGAGCUGCGGUCGGCCUUUACAGUGCUGGUUUGCUCUUCAGAUGUUCCUUCUGGGCGGCGUGUGCAAAAGCAGUGCUGCAGAAGGUGCUGACGUGGGCCAAAAUUAACGCAGGUGUUGUUCAAAUCAUAAGCAAAAAUAGAGGGCCAACUGGAGAGCCCAUCUGGAGCAAACUGUGCCCUGCCCCCACAUUUCUCCACUACAUUUACCUCCACUUAUGCAGGUGACAUUUUCAAUAAAGUUAAUUUCAAUAAAUAUUUAUAAAUUCCUGUUUGUGCAGCUGAAGGAAUCCUAGAAUUUUAUGAGUGUCCUGAGGACAUUACAGCACAGUUAAGUCUUCACUUGACUUUUAUUAAAAUUAAAAACCCUUUCUCAGCUGUUCUGUAACUGUUCUAUGUUACAAAGGAAAUUAAGAGAUUCUGGUCUUAUAACCGCAUACCUUACGCAACAUCACUGCACAGUUCCACAUCAAAAACCUCAAACCCUUUGGCAUGGUGCAUCCAAGAGCCAACUUAGCUGCACUGCACCAAUGCUCUGCUCUCUCCCACACCCACAUUAAGGUAUCCCCAACCCUUUCACAACCAAAUUCGUGAACCAGAGUUAAUGGUUAAUUAGCACCAUCACACUCUCCAACCCCAGGGGUGCAUUGUCCAGGCACCCCUCUAUCUCUGGUCAGCGCACCUCUCCCUCUGGUUGGCAGUCCCAUACUGGGGGCUGUCCGCAGGCUGCAUGGAGGUUCCACGCUUGCUCACAGCUAACCCCUUACAGACAAGGGCUUGAAGAGUAGAACUGAUGUUCUGUCUUUAGGCAAGCUAGCUAGUUUUCCAGGCCACACAACAGCAAAAACUAGGAAGUAGUUCCAGCAGUGUUGCAACAUACCAUGUUUCUUGCCUGUAAGCUUUAAGUGAAGACUUAAUAACUGGAACAUUCAUAUGAUCCCUCCCAAGUGAUUACCGUGGGCUCUAACAUCAACAAGAGAUCAUUCAUAUUCCAGCCUUUCCCAUCACGUGGGGCCACACGAACUCUCUUCCCCCUUUUCUGUUUUUGGCAGAUGUUGCAGGAACUAAAUGGCCUCAGAGCUGUUCGCGCCUCUUAGAGAUGAUGGGCUCAGACUUACAGGAAAAGAAAGGAGUAGACAGAGGCAGAGCCCACAGCUCACUGCUGCCGAGAGAUGGCCCUGCUUCUGCAUUUCUCCCUCCUGAGUACUUCACGGCACAUACACUGCCCACCCCUGUGCUCACGCUGUCUUUCCACAAAGAGACUCAGCCUACUGAAGCAAUGCGUGCACCCAUUCGGUUUGCUUUGCCAGGCUACCCUUCUCCAGGUGCAGCAGGAUCCUGCAGGUCUCCAAGUAGCUGAACAAGUGGGAUUCAGAGUACAGCAUUCACUCAGACCAUCUUUUCAACAGGAAUAAUCCAGAUCAUCGUCUGAAGCUGAUUGUUAACAAGGAACCCGUUAUCAAGAAUGAGGAGCAUUCUGCCCACCUCUGAUUCCCGCACUGAGUCACUUUAACCCACCAAGCCAGCAGGAAGUCAAUUGCAUGAAAAACUUAAGAAAAAGCUUUUUCUCUUAAUGAAUGGGUUACUUACGGGGCAUUAAAGGCACCAGAAAAGACAGACAAGCAUCAGAGCAGGUGGCAUGGAGAGGCAGGAACAGGACCUGCAGCACACAGCAGCAAAAGGCUGCGACAGUGGCUGAGCCGUAACUCACGCCCUCAUACAGCACUACACAGGCCUCGCUUCCUUCACUUGAAGUUCCUGCAAACAAUGUCAGGGGUUGAAGAGCUGCUCAUCACCUUAAUACCUUAGCAGUUCCUCCAAGCGAGAGAUUCUUUGUUCAAGAGAGGAUUAUAGGAGCAACUCCAGUGAACAGCCCACGCCUUGUUAGUGGGUUUCUAAGAAACAAGGUCACUGCUAACAGCAGGAGCACAGCAGCAGCAUUACAGCUGGACAACGUGGGCACGAUCACAGUCAGCCACCAGAUGAGCUGGCAAAAGUAAGAAACCAUUGUUUGCAGAACACAUGUGCACAGUGUUAAAAAUAAAACCAUUACUGGAUAUUGGCAAACUGACAAUUUUAUUGUCACCGUGUCAUUUGGGAAAUUUUCUGCAUAGAAUACAAACAAAAUAAGACAAAAAAGUUCAUGUGAAACUACCGUUUCCUCUUUAGGUAACCACGAACAGAAAAC